RNAcentral lists this ribosomal RNA (305 nucleotides) under uncultured bacterium. RNAcentral's name for it is "bacterial SSU rRNA". It matches the Rfam family "Bacterial small subunit ribosomal RNA", at positions 337 to 658 of the family's 1533-position model. The record is from RNAcentral.
UCCUACGGGAGGCAGCAGUGGGGGAUAUUGCACAAUGGGGGGAACCCUGAUGCAGCGACGCCGCGUGGGUGAAGGAGUGCUUCGGCAUGUAAAGCCCUAUCGGCAGGGAAGAAGCAAGACGGUACCUGACUAAGAAGCCCCGGCUAACUACGUGCCAGCAGCCGCGGUAAUACGUAGGGGGCAAGCGUUAUCCGGAUUUACUGGGUGUAAAGGGAGCGUAGGCGGUUUAGCAAGUCAGAAGUGAAAGCCCGGGGCUCAACUCCGGGACUGCUUUUGAAACUGUUGAACUAGAUUGCAGGAGAGGG